Molecule: long non-coding RNA, 250 nt
Filed under: Felis catus (domestic cat)
Lineage: Eukaryota; Metazoa; Chordata; Mammalia; Carnivora; Felidae
Description: lncRNA (ENSFCAG00000040401.2)
Source: RNAcentral
CUGGGGGUCAGGCCACACCCAGCUGCUGCUUGUGCUGGCUGCGUCAGCUCUGGAGUGGGGGUUUCCAACUGUGUUUCCUGGAGUAUGAAGGUUCCACAGAGAGGCCUCCAAGGGGCUACUCCAGUAGCUGCCAGCAGUGAGAAGGGAGGCAGAUCACAAAGAUGAGAAGGACCUUGCAAAGCUGAGAAGGAGCAACCGGUGUGGUAGGAAGAACCAAGCAAGUGUAGAGGGGUCCCAAAAAAGAAGUGAA